GAGCUUCAGAGCACGCGUACACAAAGUAUUCGGCUGUCUAUCGCCGUCGGCAUCUGUGUGGUCUCUCAGCGACGAAGAUGUGGAGAAGAAAGAAUGGAAUCGAAGCGCACUGAAGCAAGGGAAAGACGAUGAUGACCAUAACCUUUGUUCUUCAUCGUAUGAUGAAUUAUUCAAAAAAAAAUGCAGGAACAUCCAAAAUGUAAUCAAUGAUGAUGAAAAUGGUGUUGAUGAUGUUUGGGAAAUCAGAUCCUCUAUUGGCU
Molecule: unclassified non-coding RNA, 260 nt
Filed under: Hevea brasiliensis (rubber tree)
Lineage: Eukaryota; Viridiplantae; Streptophyta; Magnoliopsida; Malpighiales; Euphorbiaceae
Source: RNAcentral